CUCUCUCUAACUCUGAUUUUUGCUGUGCGCUCCUUCCGAGAAUCCUUCCUGUGUGGUUUCAGAAGACACAGCCUUGCUGUGGACCCCCUCGCAGAUGUGAAAAAACCAGCAGCCACCCUCAGGGUGACCCAGCCUUUGGAAUGAACGACAGUUGGCAAGGCUACAGUCCUGAGGAGAUGAGCACCUCAACACACCUGCGACCACGUUAUGAUGUGGCAGCACACUGUGGCACACAGCCAAAGGAAACACUCCCUUCCCGAAUAGGGAUGAGGAGGAGAGGACGACGAAGAACCCAAUUGCAGUUUGUGAAGCAAGAGAGAGGCUCAGAGGAUGUCGGACCACAACAGUUAGAAGCUCGUGGCCUUCACUGCUAACCAACCACAAACAAACCAGUGAACACCCAUCCUGCUUUCACUCUGCAUUCUGUGCUGUGUGGAGGGAUUGUCUGCUGGCCCCUGGGAGGUGAAGUUCUGUGUUAGUCCUGGAGCACCUGCCUCCAUCCAUUGCUGGGGGUCGUUCUCUUGAUCAUCUCUUGGUGUGGCUGAGUGUUUCUACAAACAGAAACUCAUCGACAGACGUCCUCUGGUGCCCACUGACAAGCUAGCAGCAAACCCACCCAGCCUGCUGCUUUGUGGAUGCCGAUGGCAGUGUCCCUGAGUGCUUUUGGGGCACACCGCCUGUGUGUUAAAUAUCCUCUAAUAGCUAGAAGAGCCACCUAUUAUUUGGAAAGCCC
Molecule: long non-coding RNA, 733 nt
Filed under: Equus caballus (horse)
Lineage: Eukaryota; Metazoa; Chordata; Mammalia; Perissodactyla; Equidae
Description: lncRNA (ENSECAG00000046566.1)
Source: RNAcentral